GUGUGGAUUUGGAUUUGUGGCAGCCCCAUCCCCCGGGCUCUCACAGUGUCCUGUGCCAGAGCAAACUGUGACCCAGAACCGUUGCCUGGCCUCUGCCUAUAGGAUGUCACCGCUGAAGCAGGUUGUGCAGUG
This is a small nucleolar RNA of Cavia porcellus (domestic guinea pig), 132 nucleotides long. Ensembl annotates it as small nucleolar RNA SNORA42/SNORA80 family. NCBI's taxonomy places the organism in Eukaryota, Metazoa, Chordata, Mammalia, Rodentia, Caviidae. The record is from Ensembl.